UGGUAGUCCACGCCGUAAACGAUGUCUACUUGGAGGUUGUGGCCUUGAGCCGUGGCUUUCGGAGCUAACGCGUUAAGUAGACCGCCUGGGGAGUACGGUCGCAAGAUUAAAACUCAAAUGAAUUGACGGGGGCCCGCACAAGCGGUGGAGCAUGUGGUUUAAUUCGAUGCAACGCGAAGAACCUUACCUACUCUUGACAUCCAGAGAAGCCAGCGGAGACGCAGGCGUGCCUUCGGGAGCUCUGAGACAGGUGCUGCAUGGCUGUCGUCAGCUCGUGUUGUGAAAUGUUGGGUUAAGUCCCGCAACGAGCGCAACCCUUAUCCUUGUUUGCCAGCGAGUAAUGUCGGGAACUCCAGGGAGACUGCCGGUGAUAAACCGGAGGAAGGUGGGGACGACGUCAAGUCAUCAUGGCCCUUACGAGUAGGGCUACACACGUGCUACAAUGGCGCAUACAGAGGGCAGCGAACUUGCGAGAGUAAGCGAAUCCCAAAAAGUGCGUCGUAGUCCGGAUUGGAGUCUGCAACUCGACUCCAUGAAGUCGGAAUCGCUAGUAAUCGUAGAUCAGAAUGCUACGGUGAAUACGUUCCCGGGCCUUGUACACACCGCCCGUCACACCAUGGGAGUGGGCUGCAAAAGAAGUGGGUAGUUUAACCUUUCGGGGAGGACGCUCACCACUUUGUGGUUCAUGACUGGGGUGAAGUCGUAACAAGGUAACC
This 716-nucleotide ribosomal RNA is filed under the name uncultured Vibrio sp. RNAcentral describes it as "bacterial SSU rRNA". It matches the Rfam family "Bacterial small subunit ribosomal RNA", at positions 788 to 1501 of the family's 1533-position model. The record is from RNAcentral. Lineage: Bacteria; Pseudomonadati; Pseudomonadota; Gammaproteobacteria; Vibrionales; Vibrionaceae.